RNAcentral lists this ribosomal RNA (774 nucleotides) under uncultured Neocallimastigales. RNAcentral's name for it is "partial large subunit ribosomal RNA". It matches the Rfam family "Eukaryotic large subunit ribosomal RNA", at positions 26 to 616 of the family's 3401-position model. Lineage: Eukaryota; Fungi; Neocallimastigomycota; Neocallimastigomycetes; Neocallimastigales. The record is from RNAcentral.
CGCAUCUGUGCAUGCAGCAUAUCAAUAAGCGGAGGAAAAGAAACUAACGAGGAUUCCCCUAGUAACGGCGAGUGAAGCGGGAAGAGCUCAAAUUUGAAAUCUUAAAGGGUCUCCCUUGACGAAUUGUAGUUUAAAGAAGUGUUUUCUGUUGAGGUUUUGGUAAAAGUUCUUUGGAAUAGGACAUCAUAGAGGGUGAGAAUCCCGUAUUUGACCUUUACUUUCAACUUUGUGAUACACUUUCAAAGAGUCGGAUUGUUUGGGAAUGCAGUCCAAAAUGGGUGGUAAAUUUCAUCUAAAGCUAAAUAUUGGCGAGAGACCGAUAGCGAACAAGUACCGUGAGGGAAAGAUGAAAAGAACUUUGAAAAGAGAGUUAAACAGUACGUGAAAUUGUCAAAAGGGAAGCGUUUGACACCAGUGUUGUUUUUCUGAAAAUCAAUUAAAGAACUGUUUAUGCUAAGCUGUUUAGACUUUAUCAGCUAACUGUUUAGUUUUGAGCUUUUCUUUAAUGCACUUUUCAGUUAACAAGUCAACAUCAAUUUCUUUUGCUGUAAAAAAGCUUGAGGAAGGUGGCUUGAGAUUCGUCUUAAGUGUUUAUAGCCUCUUGCCUAUGCAGUCGGAGAGAUUGAGGUCUGCAGCGUAGAUCCUUCGGGGCUAAAUGCAUUUGUGCUAAGUUAUAGCAUUUUAUAGACAACUUGUUGACUAUGAUUUGUCUUGUAGCUUACUCGCUUAUGUUAUUUUACCUACGCUUAGGAUGUUGAGCGCAUGUCUCUCUCU